Ribosomal RNA from Danio rerio (zebrafish), 118 nucleotides. NCBI's taxonomy places the organism in Eukaryota, Metazoa, Chordata, Actinopteri, Cypriniformes, Danionidae. The record is from Ensembl.
UCUACACAGCAAUAUCACCCUGCAGCCUAAGACUAUUUACUAACUGAAGCUAAGCAGGGCUGAGCCUGGUCAGUACCUGGAUGGGAGACCACAUGGGAAAACUAGGUUUCUGGUGGAU